AGUGAACGCUAGCGGUAGGCCUAACACAUGCAAGUCGAACGGAAGCACAUUCAGAGCUUGCACUUAAGGGGGGCGUGUGGCGGACGGGUUAUGACUAAAACGCAAUCUUCUUUUUCGUGGGGGAUUACGUAGGAAAACUUACGCUAAUACCUCAUACGUCAAACGGUUGAAAGCAGGGGAUCUUCUGACCUCGCGCGAUUGGAUGAGCCGAUGUCGAAUUGCCUCAUUAGCCGGGUAAAGCCCCACUAGGCCGACAAUCCGUAGCUGGUCUGAGAGGAUGAUCAGCCACACUGGAACGGAGACACGGUCCAAACUCGUGCGGGAGGCAGCGGUGGGGAAUAUUGGACAAGGGGCAGAAGCGUAAUCUAGCCAAACCGCGUGGGUGAAGAAGGCCCUCGGGUUGUAAAGGCAUUUUGUUGGGAAAGAAGAGCAGCAGGUUAAUACCCGGCUGUUAUGACGGUACCCAAAGAAUAAGCACCGGCUAACUUCGUG
RNAcentral lists this ribosomal RNA (492 nucleotides) under uncultured bacterium. RNAcentral describes it as "partial 16S ribosomal RNA". It matches the Rfam family "Bacterial small subunit ribosomal RNA", at positions 29 to 507 of the family's 1533-position model. The record is from RNAcentral.